This 743-nucleotide small RNA is filed under the name Pan troglodytes (chimpanzee). Its description in RNAcentral is "retained intron". Lineage: Eukaryota; Metazoa; Chordata; Mammalia; Primates; Hominidae. The record is from RNAcentral.
CAUGCUGUCACUUUUCUCCAAGAGGGGGCUCAGUGGCAAAUGUUAAGCUAGUGAUAGUAUUGCGAAUGAGAAAUUAGCCUGCCCUGCUUUCAAGGAUGUGACCAUGACAUCCCAAGAGAAGGAAGGCUUUGAAGGCAGACAUGUGCCUGGUUAGGAAGAUGGAGCUAAAGUUAGGAUACAGCUUGGGAGACCCUCCAGAAUAAAAGGAUAUUUACAAGAUCACACCUGAGUGGAGACAAGAAAGGAACAGCCCCAGAAGCAAGUAAAAGGAGGAGGAGAAACUCGCUCAUCAAGGACCUUUGAAGUUCAGAUUGGGAUGUACACAGGAAUGGAGGAAAAAGGAGGAGGCUGCCCUCAUGGCUGGAGGGGAGGGGGAAAUGGAGAUGGCACAAGUUGCAAUGUGCCUAAGACUGGUGACGUUAGCUUGCUGUUUGAUUUUCCAACAGCCAGACAGUGGGUUCUUCUGUGAAGAGAAUUCCAGUGAUGAUGAUGUGAUUCUGAAAGAAGAAUUCAGAGGGGUCAUUAUCAAGCAGGGAUGUUUACUGAAGCAGGGGCAUAGGAGGAAAAACUGGAAAGUGAGGAAGUUCAUCUUGAGAGAAGACCCUGCCUACCUGCACUACUAUGACCCUGCUGGGGCAGAAGAUCCCCUGGGAGCAAUUCACUUGAGAGGCUGUGUGGUGACUUCAGUGGAGAGCAACUCAAAUGGCAGGAAGAGUGAGGAAGAGAACCUUUUUGAGAUCAUC